Molecule: small RNA, 95 nt
Filed under: Escherichia coli
Lineage: Bacteria; Pseudomonadati; Pseudomonadota; Gammaproteobacteria; Enterobacterales; Enterobacteriaceae
Also listed under: 5 other names
Description: partial RtT sRNA
Rfam family: RtT RNA
About the family: This family represents a bacterial cis-regulatory element known as RtT RNA. The exact function of RtT is unknown although it is thought that it may be involved in changing the cellular response in relation to amino acid starvation.
Source: RNAcentral
AAGGUUCGACUUGAGCGCCAGCGAGAGAGCGUUGCCGCAGGCAACGACCCGAAGGGCGAAGCGCGCAGCGCUGAGUAAUCCUUCCCCCACCACCA